UACGUAGGGCGCAAGCGUUGUCCGGAAUUAUUGGGCGUAAAGAGCUCGUAGGCGGUUUGUCGCGUCUGCCGUGAAAACCCGAGGCUUAACCUCGGGCUGGCGGUGGAUACGGGCAGACUAGAGGUAGGUAGGGGAGAAUGGAAUUCCCGGUGUAGCGGUGAAAUGCGCAGAUAUCGGGAGGAACACCGGUGGCGAAGGCGGUUCUCUGGGCCUUACCUGACGCUGAGGAGCGAAAGCAUGGGGAGCGAACAGG
Molecule: ribosomal RNA, 253 nt
Filed under: uncultured bacterium
Lineage: Bacteria
Description: partial 16S ribosomal RNA
Rfam family: Bacterial small subunit ribosomal RNA
Source: RNAcentral